This 433-nucleotide ribosomal RNA is filed under the name uncultured bacterium. Its description in RNAcentral is "partial 16S ribosomal RNA". It matches the Rfam family "Bacterial small subunit ribosomal RNA", at positions 29 to 507 of the family's 1533-position model. The record is from RNAcentral.
AACGAACGCUGGCGGCAUGCCUAACACAUGCAAGUCGAACGAGACCUUCGGGUCUAGUGGCGCACGGGUGCGUAACGCGUGGGAACCUGCCCUUAGGUUCGGAAUAACUCCCCGAAAGGGGUGCUAAUACCGGAUAAUGUCUUCGGACCAAAGAUUUAUCGCCUUUGGAUGGGCCCGCGUUGGAUUAGCUAGUUGGUAGGGUAAAAGCCUACCAAGGCGACGAUCCAUAGCUGGUCUGAGAGGAUGAUCAGCCACACUGGGACUGAGACACGGCCCAGACUCCUACGGGAGGGAGCAGUGGGGAAUAUUGGACAAUGGGCGAAAGCCUGAUCCAGCAAUGCCGCGUGAGUGAUGAAGGCCUUAGGGUUGUAAAGCUCUUUUACCCGGGAUGAUAAUGACAGUACCGGGAGAAUAAGCUCCGGCUAACUACGUG